Molecule: long non-coding RNA, 3222 nt
Organism: Leguminivora glycinivorella
Lineage: Eukaryota; Metazoa; Arthropoda; Insecta; Lepidoptera; Tortricidae
Exons: 2
Source: RefSeq, a predicted model, not a curated record
AGUAGUAGAAUUCUUUGCAUUCCAGUUAGCAUUCCUGAAUAAAUUUUAGUCAUUCCUUUAGAUUAUCGAACGUUUAUCACACUCAUGUUAGUUUUCCAUGAUUUUGUAGUUGAAUUAAGUGUUGUUUUAUUAAUUUGUAGCAAUAAAAACGGCAGAUAUUAGUAAUUUUGUAGGUAACGAUAAAUAUUUUGUUGACAUUUAGUUUUUUAAAGGCACAGACCACAGACAAGUUAAGUUCAACGAGGGGUACGUUCGGAUGCGUGUUUUUUGAUCCAAGUUUAAGUCGUAACUUGAGCGGUUAAAUAAACGCUCGUUUUGUAAUGUUGGUAGUUCGGUUUUAUGAUUGGAUUUCUUUUAGGUUACGACGUGUUUUUUAGCGCCAGUUUUAAACUUAAACGUAUCGCAACGUGCAGAUUCGUUUAAGGGCGUCGGUUUUUUGUGAAAACUUGGAUUUGGUUUUGUGGUGUAUUCAAGGAUUUAGAGAUUGUUAUUGGGUAAGUUUGAGGUGGAGGUUUUCUUUGGACGCAAGGUCCGGGUUUUCUUUUGCUUUCACCUUGCCGCCAAAGUUAACGCCCUCGCUUACGCCAUAUCGUGUCACUCUUCGGUUGUUUCGUUUGAAGUGUUGAAUAUUGUGGUAAAAAUAUUCAAUCACGACUUUAUGUAUGGAACGUGGUGAACAGCAAAGUCUGUUUUCAUUACUAUUUUGUUUUGUGUGAGGGAUGAAAGGGUUCCUGGAACAGUUCUCUGAAAUGCGUGAAGUAUGAAAGGGGCGACACAAUCUGGCUCGUUGUUUUUAGUUUGAGCGAUCCUUGAUACGGCCUGUUUUUUCGGAUGGAGUUUUUUUUGCGGGUGCUUACCACACCCGAGCGUCGUGUUGGCGCGAUUUGGGGUCGACAUGAGGUCCAUACCCAGGAGUGGUGAGGUAUGGCAGGGCGCGGUCGCACUGCCUACUUCUUGCAUCCCCUUUUGGAUGCGCUCCGUACGGGGUUCUUGCCUUUUGUGGUGUCGAUCGGGUACUCGCUGGUGGGUACAUUUUGUGUUCCGUGCUGCUUUUCCCAUGCCAUGGAGGCGGUGGGGUGGCGCACGCGUUUUUUGGGUAUCGCCGCCAAUCAUGCCUGGUGUUCGAUACAUUUUUUUGGUGAGUCUCAACCAAUCGGUUGAGGUCUCGGGCAUGUUGCAACCUCAGAGUUGCAUAGGAUUUUGUGAUCCGGAGAGUUGGGUGGGAGUCUUUGUUCCACCAACUCGAAGGCCCCCGUGACGGUUUGUUAUGUUUUUUUUGGUUUGUUUACGGAAGAAUUGGAACAGCACAAUGUUGCCAAUUCAACCGUGUGUUAGGAGGAAUGGUAUUUUUUUUUUGUUGGUGAACCGUCAGGGAAUUUUGAUUUUGGAUUUAGGUAUUUUCUCGGAUUGGAAUAUUAUUUUGAAUUGAAUUAUGAGCUUCUCAAGUUUAUGACAGUAAACUUGGAAGUAGGAAUCAUUUUGGAUUUUUUAUUUUGCCCGGUCUAGCGGAGAAUGUUUAAGUGUGCUGAACAUCGGUCCUGGCUGUUGGUUUUGGUUUUUCCAACGCAACUGAAAAGUUGUGUUGGUAAAGCCAAAGGAAUGUUUUCUAUUGGGUUAGUUUUGUAGUGUGGGUUAUUUUUUGAUGGUUCGGAAACCACACUAGGUUUUUUUAUUUUGUGGUGUUGCGUGGGUUCGAGAUUCACUUUUAGGACGUUUAGUUAUUUGGUUUUGUGGAUUGGUUGUUUUUUUUUGGGAAAGGAUCUCGAUACCUACAGCAAUCGCUGUUCUUUUCUGUUAUGUGUUUCUCCCAUACUCAGUAUGGUCGAGGUGUGUUCGUUUUAUUUCCUUACUUUUGUGACACAUGGUUAGGUAGUCGCUGAGGACAGCGAGCGUUUUACCCUUGGUAAAACGCUACAGCAGGGAGAGGGGUAUUGUGACAUUGCACAUUUUUAGUACAACGACGUUUUUAGGUUUGUCUCAAACAUAAGUUUUUGCGGAUGGCAAGGACUUCAAUUGAUCUAGCAACUGAAUCGAUAUGGAUGACAGUUCUGUAAUCCAAUCAGAAUCAUCUGUCAACAAGGGUUGUUGCCAGUAUACAAAUAUCCAUGAUUUUCAUGAUGUUAAUUAUUUUAGAAUUUAAAAUAAAAAUUUGAUUUAAUAAGUUAGGAAGUUGCUAGAACAUGGUUAGAAAAUUAGGUGGAAUUUUACACACUAGAUAUUUUAGUCAUUUGAAAUUUAUUACAGCAAACGAUUGCUGAGGUUGUCGUUCUAUUUGGUAUCCCCAAGCCUCCCAAGGUCGUUAGGAUUUUGAGAUCAUUUCCUCCACACUUGUUAGCUGGCUCCGGUACAGGUCGUAGGCCUCCAGUGGCUACUUUAUGAUAUCGCGGAUCAUCUAUGAUGUGAAGCAGGAAUCCAAAUUAUGGAGCAGCAAGAGUCCUUUUCUGCAGGGCCUCAAGGGUCCUCAGAAUUGUAUUUUCACCAUGAACUUCUCCUGAUGGUUUAUGUGGCGGGAAGGGUUUGUCAGAGCUGCGAAUGAUGAGGCUUCUCAAGUUCCAGCUGGUAAGCAAUCCAGAAUAUUAAUUAUUCAUAUGAUAAGGUUAGGCCACAUUUCCAUUGUCUAAUGAAGGUUUUUUUUUUCUAUUUCAGCUGACUGGGAAUUUAUCAGAUUUAAUUGAUUUAUCAGAUUUAAUUGAUUUAUCAGAUUUAAUUUAUUUUACAUUUUAGAUUUUAAAUUUAUUUGUGAUUUAAUUUCGAGCUCUUCAAAAUUUGUUUUCAAGAUCUCAAGAUUUGAGUUUCAUUCAGUUUCUUCAAAUUGAAUGUUUCACCCGAAGGGGGUUUCGGUGAAGAGGAUGCUUGCCGUAGGCUGAAGCUUUGGUUGCGGUGGUGCUCUUUUGAAUUACUGCGCCUGGGGCAACCGCUUUGGCUCACUGAAGGAUGGCUUGCAUGUACAGCGGUAACUUCUGGCUUGAAGGUUGGUGGCAUUUCUCUUUCCUGGAAGCAAGUGUUAAAUUUAGUUUCUAUCAUCUAUGUUGGCACUGAUACUUAGGGACUAACAAGUUUUAGGCAAUGCUUGUAAAUCACUCAGAACCAUAUUUGCACGGCCCAGCUCUAUCGCCUGGCAAUGUUAUUUUAGUUAAGGUGCUAAGCUUAAGCUUUUAUUGCUGAUUUACAAGCUGUACUUUGCAUUGUGUCCAUUUAGAGAAAUAAAACUGUGUGUCACAA